GGCAGAAGCAGAGAAAGGGCAAGAAGACACACCCAGCAGUUGCACUGAUGGCAACCUGGAAGCAGAUAGAAGACUCAGAGAGUUGUAGGAAAACAGGAGUCCAAGCAAGGAAGUUCAUCUCCAAAGGCCUAGGGCAGUGAGAACCUGAACCCAGAACCAAGCCAACAGGAAGACACAUUUUCUCUACUAUCAACACCUUCUGUCAAUGUCAGAAG
This 215-nucleotide long non-coding RNA is filed under the name Parus major (Great Tit). Its description in RNAcentral is "lncRNA (ENSPMJG00000007925.1)". Lineage: Eukaryota; Metazoa; Chordata; Aves; Passeriformes; Paridae. The record is from RNAcentral.